RNAcentral lists this transfer RNA (79 nucleotides) under Erwinia phage vB_EamM_Asesino. RNAcentral's name for it is "tRNA-Ile". It matches the Rfam family "tRNA". From Rfam's summary of the family: Transfer RNA (tRNA) molecules are approximately 80 nucleotides in length. Lineage: Duplodnaviria; Heunggongvirae; Uroviricota; Caudoviricetes; Chimalliviridae. The record is from RNAcentral.
UUGUCUCGUAGCUCAGUUGGUUAGAGCGCUCGCCUGAUAAGCGGGAGGUCGGUAGUUCAAGUCUACUCGAGACAACCAG